RNAcentral lists this ribosomal RNA (520 nucleotides) under uncultured bacterium. Its description in RNAcentral is "bacterial SSU rRNA". It matches the Rfam family "Bacterial small subunit ribosomal RNA", at positions 120 to 674 of the family's 1533-position model. The record is from RNAcentral.
GGGAACAUACCCUUUUCUACGGAAUAGCUCUGGGAAACUGGAAUUAAUACCGUAUACGCCCUACGGGGGAAAGAUUUAUCGGGGAAGGAUUGGCCCGCGUUGGAUUAGCUAGUUGGUGGGGUAAAGGCCUACCAAGGCGACGAUCCAUAGCUGGUCUGAGAGGAUGAUCAGCCACAUUGGGACUGAGACACGGCCCAAACUCCUACGGGAGGCAGCAGUGGGGAAUAUUGGACAAUGGGCGCAAGCCUGAUCCAGCCAUGCCGCGUGAGUGAUGAAGGCCUUAGGGUUGUAAAGCUCUUUCACCGAUGAAGAUAAUGACGGUAGUCGGAGAAGAAGCCCCGGCUAACUUCGUGCCAGCAGCUGCGGUAAUACGAAGGGGGCUAGCGUUGUUCGGAAUUACUGGGCGUAAAGCGCACGUAGGCGGAUAUUUAAGUCAGGGGUGAAAUCCCAGAGCUCAACUCUGGAACUGCCUUUGAUACUGGGUAUCUUGAGUAUGGAAGAGGUAAGUGGAAUUGCGAGU